AAUGUAUAUGACACACAAUGACCUACACUUGAUUAUCGCUAGCAUCUUAGUAAUAGCAUAUCGUUUGAUCGUGAACAGUUUAAGAACUACGCGAUAAAUCCUCUUUUAUCGAUCAAAAUAGUCCUAAAAACUUCAUCACAACAUAGGUGUUCAUUCGAAGAUGUAAUCUUGUGACAAAAAAAGUCAAAUAACUUUUAUUAUUAAUCAAUUCAUAUAUAUUUAUAAUUAGCACAAUCAUCAAAUGAUUGACUUUAGGACACAAUUCCCAACACAACAUCCUUGGGCGUUGAAACUAAGAGGGAGA
Molecule: long non-coding RNA, 304 nt
Filed under: Elaeis guineensis (African oil palm)
Lineage: Eukaryota; Viridiplantae; Streptophyta; Magnoliopsida; Arecales; Arecaceae
Description: long non-coding RNA (EGUI_LNC053057)
Source: RNAcentral